AUGGGCGCAAGCCUGAUGCAGCAACGCCGCGUGGGGGACGAAGGCCUUCGGGUUGUAAACCCCUUUUAGCAGGGAAGAARCGCAMGUGACGGUACCUGCAGAAAAAGCACCGGCUAACUACGUGCCAGCAGCCGCGGUAAUACGUAGGGUGCAAGCGUUGUCCGGAAUUAUUGGGCGUAAAGAGCUCGUAGGCGGUGUGUCGCGUCUGCUGUGAAAAUCCAAGGCUCAACCUUGGACCUGCAGUGGGUACGGGCACACUAGAGUGCGGUAGGGGAGAUUGGAAUUCCUGGUGUAGCGGUGGAAUGCSCAGAUAUCAGGAGGAACACCAAUGGCGAAGGCAGAUCUCUGGGCCGUAACUGACGCUGAGGAGCGAAAGCGUGGGGAGCGAACAGGAUUAGAUACCCUGGUAGUCCACGCCGUAAACGGUGGGAACUAGAUGUGGGGUCCGUUCCACGGAUUCCGUGUCGCAGCUAACGCAUUAAGUUCCCCGCCUGGGGAGUACGGCCGCAAGGCUAAAACUCAAA
RNAcentral lists this ribosomal RNA (524 nucleotides) under uncultured Actinomycetes bacterium. RNAcentral's name for it is "bacterial SSU rRNA". It matches the Rfam family "Bacterial small subunit ribosomal RNA", at positions 371 to 905 of the family's 1533-position model. The record is from RNAcentral. Lineage: Bacteria; Bacillati; Actinomycetota; Actinomycetes.